ACGGGUGAGUAACACGUGAGUAACCUGCCCUUGACUCUGGGAUAAGCGUUGGAAACGACGUCUAAUACCGGAUAUGAACCGCGAAGGCAUCUUCUGCGGUUGGAAAGAAUUUUGGUCAAGGAUGGACUCGCGGCCUAUCAGCUAGUUGGUGAGGUAACGGCCCACCAAGGCGACGACGGGUAGCCGGCCUGAGAGGGUGACCGGCCACACUGGGACUGAGACACGGCCCAGACUCCUACGGGAGGCAGCAGUGGGGAAUAUUGCACAAUGGGCGAAAGCCUGAUGCAGCAACGCCGCGUGAGGGACGACGGCCUUCGGGUUGUAAACCUCUUUUAGCAGGGAAGAAGCGAAAGUGACGGUACCUGCAGAAAAAGCACCGGCUAACUACGUGCCAGCAGCCGCGGUAAUACGUAGGGUGCAAGCGUUGUCCGGAAUUAUUGGGCGUAAAGAGCUCGUAGGCGGUUUGUCGCGUCUGCUGUGAAAACGCGAGGCUCAACCUCGCGCCUGCAGUGGGUACGGGCAGACUAGAGUGCGGUAGGGGAGAUUGGAAUUCCUGGUGUAGCGGUGGAAUGCGCAGAUAUCAGGAGGAACACCGAUGGCGAAGGCAGAUCUCUGGGCCGUAACUGACGCUGAGGAGCGAAAGCGUGGGGAGCGAACAGGAUUAGAUACCCUGGUAGUCCACGCCGUAAACGUUGGGAAC
This 700-nucleotide ribosomal RNA is filed under the name Labedella sp. Its description in RNAcentral is "bacterial SSU rRNA". It matches the Rfam family "Bacterial small subunit ribosomal RNA", at positions 102 to 816 of the family's 1533-position model. The record is from RNAcentral. Lineage: Bacteria; Bacillati; Actinomycetota; Actinomycetes; Micrococcales; Microbacteriaceae.